CCUACGGGUGGCAGCAGUGGGGAAUAUUGGACAAUGGGUGAAAGCCUGAUCCAGCCAUGCCGCGUGUGUGAAGAAGGCCUUCGGGUUGUAAAGCACUUUCAGUGGGGAAGAAAGCCUUGGGGCUAAUACCCUCGAGGAAGGACAUCACCCACAGAAGAAGCACCGGCUAACUCCGUGCCAGCAGCCGCGGUAAUACGGAGGGUGCGAGCGUUAAUCGGAAUUACUGGGCGUAGAGCGCGCGUAGGCGGUCUGAUAAGCCGGUUGUGAAAGCCCCGGGCUCAACCUGGGAACGGCAUCCGGAACUGUCAGGCUAGAGUGCAGGAGAGGAAGGUAGAAUUCCCGGUGUAGCGGUGAAAUGCGUAGAGAUCGGGAGGAAUACCAGUGGCGAAGGCGGCCUUCUGGACUGACACUGACGCUGAGGUGCGAAAGCGUGGGUAGCAAACAGGAUUAGAUACCCUUGUAGUC
RNAcentral lists this ribosomal RNA (465 nucleotides) under Vreelandella stevensii. RNAcentral describes it as "partial 16S ribosomal RNA". It matches the Rfam family "Bacterial small subunit ribosomal RNA", at positions 338 to 795 of the family's 1533-position model. The record is from RNAcentral. Lineage: Bacteria; Pseudomonadati; Pseudomonadota; Gammaproteobacteria; Oceanospirillales; Halomonadaceae.